This is a small nuclear RNA of Colobus angolensis palliatus, 104 nucleotides long. NCBI's taxonomy places the organism in Eukaryota, Metazoa, Chordata, Mammalia, Primates, Cercopithecidae. The record is from Ensembl.
GUGCUUGCCUCGGCAGCAAAUAUACCAACACUGGAAUGAUACAGAGAUUAGCAUGGCUCCUGGGCAAGGAUGACAGGCAAAUUCAUGAAAUGUUCCAUGUUUAA